Molecule: ribosomal RNA, 544 nt
Filed under: Botrytis cinerea
Lineage: Eukaryota; Fungi; Ascomycota; Leotiomycetes; Helotiales; Sclerotiniaceae
Description: eukaryotic LSU rRNA
Rfam family: 5.8S ribosomal RNA (bases 181-334)
Source: RNAcentral
CUUUUUCCUACCGGGUACUGCGGAAGGAGCAAAAAAAAGGUCAUGCCAGAAGGGUAGACCUCCCACCCUUGUGUAUUAUUACUUUGUUGCUUUGGCGAGCUGCCUUCGGGCCUUGUAUGCUCGCCAGAGAAUACCAAAACUCUUUUUAUUAAUGUCGUCUGAGUACUAUAUAAUAGUUAAAACUUUCAACAACGGAUCUCUUGGUUCUGGCAUCGAUGAAGAACGCAGCGAAAUGCGAUAAGUAAUGUGAAUUGCAGAAUUCAGUGAAUCAUCGAAUCUUUGAACGCACAUUGCGCCCCUUGGUAUUCCGGGGGGCAUGCCUGUUCGAGCGUCAUUUCAACCCUCAAGCUUAGCUUGGUAUUGAGUCUAUGUCAGUAAUGGCAGGCUCUAAAAUCAGUGGCGGCGCCGCUGGGUCCUGAACGUAGUAAUAUCUCUCGUUACAGGUUCUCGGUGUGCUUCUGCCAAAACCCAAAUUUUUCUAUGGUGACCUCGGAUCAGGUAGGGACAACCGAGGAACUUAAGCAUAUCAUAUCGGGAAGAAAGC